UACGGAGGGUGCAAGCGUUGCUCGGAAUUAUUGGGCGUAAAGGGUAGGUAGGUGGUCUCGUUUGUCAGGGGUGAAAGCCUUGGGCUUGACUCAAGAAGUGCCCCUGAAACGGCGAGACUCGAGUACUGGAGAGGGUCGUGGAAUUCCCGGUGUAGCGGUGAAAUGCGUAGAGAUCGGGAGGAACACCAGAGGCGAAGGCGGCGACCUGGACAGUGACUGACACUCAACUACGAAAGCGUGGGGAGCAAACAGG
This 253-nucleotide ribosomal RNA is filed under the name uncultured bacterium. Its description in RNAcentral is "partial 16S ribosomal RNA". It matches the Rfam family "Bacterial small subunit ribosomal RNA", at positions 524 to 776 of the family's 1533-position model. The record is from RNAcentral.